GACUGUACUAACUUUGUGAAAAUAGCGCUCGGAUAAAUUGUAUGUAUAACUUGUUGCAGCGUCUGUUUCAAGGUUUUUACUUCGUUGUUUAUUAUUUACCACUAUGUAAAAUAUUAAUCUUGUGUUCUGGGACGUUUUUUUUCCCAGCUGCGUAGAGAAAUACUCUAUACUGUAAAGAGUUGGCAUGAUAUAAACAAACUGGGAUAACAGACUGGCAUCUGAGACUCUUGUAUUGAUUCAAUAAUGCAGGAUUGCUUUCCUAUCGAUUAGUUGAUCAAGUGAAAGUUAUAACUCAUGGAUAGAAUCUAAAAUUGCAAAGAUACAAAAUGGAUGACGAUAUAGAAGAAGAAUCUAUGUUAAAAGCAGCAGAUUUUGCAAGAAAUAGACGAACUGAUGACGUCAGGCGAAGAUCAAAACACCCUCAUGGAGUAACAGAAACUUCAACACAAACACAUGACUUGAACCACAAUUCAAGUAAAAGUACAAGAUCGACUAUAUCACGUGAUUGGUUUCUUUGGAAGCAGACGACACUGUUGUGCUCAUUGACCUUUGCCAGCGUUCUUGGUACAAUAACCCAAAUUAAACAAAUGAUGAAUAUAGGGACCAAUCACAAGAAUUACAGCUUAUUGUUGUGUGUAAUGCUAAGUUCUCUCCUUCUUCAGUGCUUUGUAGCUAUAUUUUUGCUAAUACUCACUCACAAGUCACCUGAUUGGCUGAAAGAUAUUAACCACGGGACUGCUCUUAUCCAACGGACAAUCAAUAUCAUUAUGGCGGCAGUUUUUGUUGUAUCGUUAAUGGAAAUUUGUGAAUUUGUGCUUAUGAAUUAAAUGAAAGUAUAUAUUGGAGUCAGUGGAUUAAAUUUACAAAGAUUUAAUAUAUGAAUUCAAAAAGUUAUUUAGUAUAAAACAAUAGAAGACAUAAAACAAAGACAGAUGUUUCGAAAAAGUGUUACAAUUCUUUUUGGAACAUGCACAUACAAAAGGUUGUUUGAACUAAUUUCGCAGCACUUAAGAAACGAUUAUGUAUGUAUUCACUAUCACAAAAGUAUGUCAUAGUAGACACUGUUAAAGUUGAUAUGAUCUCAAUUAUGUGUAAAAAGAAAAAUGUAUAGAAUUUACAGCUUCUUAAGUGUGAUUGACACUGUUAUUAUGUGUAAUGCUGUUAUAUUCACACAAUCAAAAUGCGUAUAUAGCAGUGUUUUAGUUUUGACGCACGUUUAUAAAUAUCAAGACCUUAAGGAUUUUAUACUGGCUGACGGUACAGACCGGAAUAUCUAGCUCGAGGGUAACUGUUAACGGCGGUAAUGAGGUUCUGGCACCGGUGUAAAGAGUAAAUAAUCAUGUCUGAUAUGCAAGAAAAGUACAAGAAUUUGUCACUGUUACGUUGUAUGCUUGUUGGCAUUAUUCAUUUAAAAUAGUGCUUAUAUCUGGAUUAAGCACUCAAGGGCUUAGUCUCAUUUAAAAUAUGCACUUACUAUAUUAUAUCAAACAGUAUGUUCGUAAGAAUAAAAAUGGUCAAUAGAUGCA
This is a long non-coding RNA of Ruditapes philippinarum (Manila clam), 1526 nucleotides long. RefSeq lists it as uncharacterized. Lineage: Eukaryota; Metazoa; Mollusca; Bivalvia; Venerida; Veneridae. The record is from RefSeq and is a predicted model, not a curated record. The transcript has 3 exons.